This 532-nucleotide long non-coding RNA is filed under the name Citrus x clementina. RNAcentral's name for it is "Citrus clementina (C. clementina) long non-coding RNA (CCLE_LNC003816)". The record is from RNAcentral. Lineage: Eukaryota; Viridiplantae; Streptophyta; Magnoliopsida; Sapindales; Rutaceae.
UUGGAACUGGAGAAAUUUAUUCUUAUAAAGAGGUUAUAACUCAAUAGAGGUAUAGUACAAAAAUUAUUAUCUUUACUUAAUUAUCCCUAAUGCAAGUGACAUAGAGGUAAAUUAUGUCAUGUAUUAAUAAUGAAAUGGAUGUUAAUGUCUUCAUCAAACAUCCAAGUGAACGACAAGUUGGGUAUGCUUUAACUGAAGAAGAAAUUAUCGAUGCAAUUAGACAAGAAGAGCAAGGGGAUAAUCCUGAGGAUGACAGUACAAAAAUACAAAAAGUUGUAUGCCAGGAAGCUAUAAACAUACUUGAGAAGUUAGAAAUAUUUUGACUUCAAGAAGAAGAUGUCUAUGCUGACCAAUUAAUACAUACCCAUAAGUUGAAAGAUAUGGUUGCAACUUUAAAGAACAAAUCAUUGUCAGCAACUUUAGAAAGAUAUUUUGUUCCAUCUUAAUUAUUUAAUGUAACAUGUCAUAUAUUUUUGGAAUAUUAUUACUAUGUGGAGGUAAGUUUAUUUAAAGCGUGAACUGCAAAAAUAUA